GCUCAGGAUGAACGCUGGCGGUCUGCUUAACACAUGCAAGUCGAACGCAACCUUCGGGUUGAGUGGCGGACGGGUGAGUAACGCGUGAGAAUCUGCCUUGGGGUCGGGGACAACCACUGGAAACGGUGGCUAAUACCGGAUAAGCCUUUGGGUAAAAAAUUUAUUGCCCCAAGAGGAGCUCGCGUCUGAUUAGCUAGUUGGUGAGGUAAAAGCUCACCAAGGCAGCGAUCAGUAGCUGGUCUGAGAGGACGAUCAGCCACACUGGGACUGAGACACGGCCCAGACUCCUACGGGAGGCAGCAGUGGGGAAUUUUCCGCAAUGGGCGAAAGCCUGACGGAGCAAGACCGCGUGAGGGAGGAAGGCUCUUGGGUUGUAAACCUCUUUUCUCAGGGAAGAAGCUCUGACGGUACCUGAGGAAUCAGCCUCGGCUAACUCCGUGCCAGCAGCCGCGGUAAUACGGAGGAGGCAAGCGUUAUCCGGAAUUAUUGGGCGUAAAGCGUCCGCAGGUGGCGAUUCAAGUCUGCUGUCAAAGCACGGGGCUUAACUCCGUUAAGGCAGUGGAAACUGAAUAGCUAGAGUGCCGUAGGGGUAGAGGGAAUUCCCGGUGUAGCGGUGAAAUGCGUAGAGAUCGGGAAGAACAUCGGUGGCGAAAGCGCUCUACUGGACGGCAACUGACACUCAGGGACGAAAGCUAGGGGAGCGAAUGGGAUUAGAUACCCCAGUAGUCCUAGCUGUAAACGAUGGAUACUAGGUGUAGCUUGUAUCGACCCGAGCUGUGCCGAAGCUAACGCGUUAAGUAUCCCGCCUGGGGAGUACGCACGCAAGUGUGAAACUCAAAGGAAUUGACGGGGGCCCGCACAAGCGGUGGAGUAUGUGGUUUAAUUCGAUGCAACGCGAAGA
Molecule: ribosomal RNA, 901 nt
Filed under: uncultured organism
Description: bacterial SSU rRNA
Rfam family: Bacterial small subunit ribosomal RNA
Source: RNAcentral